GCUCCUUCCUCCUCUCCCCGGGGGAAUCAGCUUGCCUGAGGCCCCGCGGCAGCCGGGCAUCGUGCCAUAUGCAAUCAAAGCCCCCAGCCCGGAACAGUCAUCAAUCUUCCUUGGACGUGGGCCACACGCGGCCCUAAAUAGAUUUGAUGGGGCAAAAUAUUCAAAUUAAUUUGGGAUUGAGUGGUGGCCUCCCGAGCUGCUCCCCCCCCCCCUCCGCCUGUGCUCCCGCUCCAUGCAUCACCCGGCCGCGGCCCCAAUCUGAGCCUCAGAGCAGAUGGGAUAAAUCACCCGCCGCCUCCGUUUAGCACGGCUCUGAUUGCCGGUGCUGGCUCACCGGGGAAAUCAGGCUCAAAGAUUAAAGACAAGAAAUGCUGCAGCCUCUAGAGUCUAAAAUGGAGAAAUGAGGUGUUGCUGGUAAAAGCUCUCAAAGAGUAGGAGGUGACAGCAGCUAUCUAUCCAUCUAUAGUGGUGCCAAAGUGUUGUCAAAAAAUCAGAGGUAAAAAUAUGUAAAGGAUACCUUUACACAAAGGAGGUCUGUUUUCAG
Long non-coding RNA from Lacerta agilis (Sand lizard), 544 nucleotides. RefSeq lists it as uncharacterized. The transcript is spliced from 3 exons. NCBI's taxonomy places the organism in Eukaryota, Metazoa, Chordata, Lepidosauria, Squamata, Lacertidae. The record is from RefSeq and is a predicted model, not a curated record.